RNAcentral lists this long non-coding RNA (642 nucleotides) under Nicotiana benthamiana. Its description in RNAcentral is "long non-coding RNA (NBEN_LNC018058)". Lineage: Eukaryota; Viridiplantae; Streptophyta; Magnoliopsida; Solanales; Solanaceae. The record is from RNAcentral.
AUGAAUUUAGUAGAUCGUUUUAGGAGGUCCUAAUGACUAUAGAUCGAACCUAUCCAAUUUUUACAGUACAAUGGUUGGCUGUUCACGGCCUAGCUGUACCUACCGUGUUUUUGGGAUCAAUAUCAACAAUGCAGUUCAUCCAACGAUAAACUUAAUCCGAAUUAUAGAGCUACGGCACAAUCAAACUCGAACGAACAAAAUGUUGAAUUGAAUCGUACCAGUCUCUACUGGGUGUUAUUACUCAUUUUUGUACUUGCUGUUUCAUUUUCCAAUUAUUUCUUCAAUUAUGAAAACGAAAGAGAAUCAAUAAGAUUCUCUUAGCUCAUUCGGAAGGAUCUCAUAAUUUAAUUAUCCAUGACUGUUUAUGUCUCUAGCAUGACCACUUGAUGAAAUCUGGAGGGAAGUGGGGUAAAUGGCCGAUACUACUAGAAGGAUUCCUCUUUGGAUAAUAGGUACUGUAGCUGGUAUUCUUGUAAUCGGUUUAAUAGGUAUUUUCUUUAUGGUUCAUAUUCCGGAUUGGGUUCUAUAUAAAAUGGUGGAUGUACAAAUCCACAACGGAUCCUGUCCUUCAAGUCGCACGUUGCUUUCUACACAUCGUUACAAACGAAGUUUUACCAUAACAUUCCUCUAAGAACCGGUAUG